RNAcentral lists this non-coding RNA (102 nucleotides) under Izhakiella sp. Its description in RNAcentral is "TPP sequence". It matches the Rfam family "TPP riboswitch aptamer (THI element)". From Rfam's summary of the family: Vitamin B(1) in its active form thiamin pyrophosphate (TPP) is an essential coenzyme that is synthesised by coupling of pyrimidine and thiazole moieties in bacteria. The previously detected thiamin-regulatory element, thi box was extended, resulting in a new, highly conserved RNA secondary structure, the THI element, which is widely distributed in eubacteria and also occurs in some archaea. Analysis of operon structures identified a large number of new candidate thiamin-regulated genes, mostly transporters, in various prokaryotic organisms. The record is from RNAcentral. Lineage: Bacteria; Pseudomonadati; Pseudomonadota; Gammaproteobacteria; Enterobacterales; Erwiniaceae.
GAGUCAUCCGAGGGGUGUCCGUGAUGGACUGAGAUGGCGUAUGCCGGACCCUUUGAACCUGAUCUGGGUUAUACCAGCGAAGGGACGGGUCGGCAGUUUCAC